Molecule: ribosomal RNA, 439 nt
Filed under: uncultured bacterium
Lineage: Bacteria
Description: partial 16S ribosomal RNA
Rfam family: Bacterial small subunit ribosomal RNA
Source: RNAcentral
CUACGGGCUGCAGCAGUGGGGAAUAUUGGGCAAUGGGCGAAAGCCUGACCCAGCAACGCCGCGUGAAGGAAGAAGGUUUUCGGAUCGUAAACUUCUAUCCCAGAUGAAGAUAAUGACGGUAAUCUGGAAGGAAGCCCCGGCUAACUACGUGCCAGCAGCCGCGGUAAUACGUAGGGGGCAAGCGUUGUCCGGAAUGAUUGGGCGUAAAGGGCGCGUAGGCGGCCAUGUAAGUCCGACGUGAAAGUCCUGCUUUUAAGGUGGGAAGUGCGUUGGAAACUGUGUGGCUUGAGUGCAGGAGAGGUAAGUGGAAUUCCCGGUGUAGCGGUGAAAUGCGUAGAGAUCGGGAGGAACACCAGUGGCGAAGGCGACUUACUGGACUGUAACUGACGCUGAGGCGCGAAAGUGUGGGGAGCAAACAGGAUUAGAUACCCGAGUAGUC